This 430-nucleotide ribosomal RNA is filed under the name uncultured archaeon. RNAcentral describes it as "bacterial SSU rRNA". It matches the Rfam family "Archaeal small subunit ribosomal RNA", at positions 345 to 808 of the family's 1478-position model. The record is from RNAcentral.
AACCUCUGCAAUAAGCGAAAGCUUGACAGGGUUACUCUGAGUGAUUUCCGCUAAGGAAGUCUUUUGGCACCUUGGUGCAGAAUAAGGGGUGGCAAGCUGGUGUCAGCCGCCGCGGUAAUACCAGCACCCCGAGUGGUCGGGACGAUUAUUGGGCCUAAAGCAUCCGUAGCCGGUUCUACAAGUCUUCCGUUAAAUCCACCUGCUUAACAGAUGGGCUGCGGAAGAUACUAUAGAGCUAGGAGGCGGGAGAGGCAAGCGGUACUCGAUGGUAGGGUAAAAUCCACUGAUCCAUUGAAGACCACCAUGGCGAAGCGGCUUGCCAGAACGCCUCGACGGUGAGGGAUGAAACUGGGGGGAGCAAACCGGAUUAGAUACCCGGGUAGUCCCAGCUGUAAACGAUGCAGACUCGGUGAUGAGCAGUGCCGCAGGG